ACACAGUUCCUACAUCAGCAUUCUGGAGCAUGCAUUCUCUCUCUCUCUCUCUCUCUCUCUCUCUCUCUCUCUCUCUCUCUCUCACACACACACACACACACACCCACUUAAGCAGAGACUAUUUGUGUAGCCACAAAAAAACCCACAAGUUGUCACAUCCGCCACAAAACUGCGUGACUCUUUAUUUUCUCAUCCCUUGCACAAAAAGUCUUCCAAAGUGUUCACCACAUUGUGUAGUGUGCUCCUUAACUCAUUCUACAUGUUUUUAUGAAGAUAAGCUGAAACAUUUCCAACGUUACUGCUUUUUUUUUCUUCAAAAAAGUGUAGUAAUGGUGUUGCAGGGUUUCAUCAUUUUGCUUUUCUUCAUCAGUAGUAACCAUGGACAUACUGAAUUCAUUUAUACAGCAAAGGAUGAAGUAAAAUUGUUUUGCGACACCAACAAAUGGGAAAUAAACACAGAGUCUGACAACAACAUUGAUGUGAAUUGCACAGUGGAGUGUGUUCAUGGUGAAGCACUCAAACUUCAUAAUACCCAGAAUUCCUGCAAAAAUAAUGAUUCAGUCAAAGUUGGUGAAAAAUGUUCGCUAAUAGCGAGCAGUGGAUUUUAUCGAUGUGUUACUGCUCUGGAUUCUGGUUUCUUAUUUCCAUUCAAACCGUCUCCCAACACUGUCACAUCGUACAUAGUCGCCACUGCAAAUGAAGAAAUGACAAACAAGUCUGAGGAAAGAUCUUCAGUCGAGCUAACUGAAGGUGAAGAUGUACUUUUAAACUGCAGUGUCAUCUUUACAGAAGAAUAUGACAACAAGAACUUUGUAGUGUACUGGAUCAAGACCAUUGGAAAGAACAGUACCUGUGUGUAUUCUUAUGAUUUUGAUUUAUAUACUCGUAUAAGAUACAAUCCCCACUGCAAUGUGCAAGAAGAACUGCUUUACAGACUCUCAAACCAAACUGAAGGCAAAAUCACCCAUAACAUCAGGAUCAGUAACGUAACAGACUCAGAUGCUGGACAAUAUCUUUGUGCCUUACAAGUGCACACACAUAAUAAAACAAAAGGAAAGUGGAAGAUCAUAAAUAAUAUUACAGUCAGUGUACAGAAAGACAAAGGACAUGAAAUAGCUGGAAACAGCGCUGAGUCUCUGAUCCGCUUGUGUGUUACACUGCCAGUAAUACUGGGUAUUCCGGCAGCUCUUAUGGUGGUAUAUUUAUGGAAAAAGAUGAAAAUUUCACCAAGAUCUCAGGCUAUGGAACUGCAAACAAUCCAACAUUGAGAAGAAACUCCUGAUAUGAACUUUGAGGCAUGAGAGUAACACAGCACUUAGGAAGAGCUGACGUUUAAAACGUGUUAAAUAUGUGCUCUUUAUUAUGCUUUCUUUUACUUAAUGAAACUCUCCCAAUACUGUCCCAGCAUGUGUCUUUCUCAUUUCAAACCUACAAAAUUAGUCCAAAAAUUAAUCUGACUUUGGGUCAAAUUUAAUGGUUCUGUAUUUUCUUUCUAAGAAUAAAAAAGCAUUAGAAUGUUUUUAUUGAUGAAAAGACAUUUAUGGC
Molecule: long non-coding RNA, 1545 nt
Organism: Ictalurus punctatus (channel catfish)
Lineage: Eukaryota; Metazoa; Chordata; Actinopteri; Siluriformes; Ictaluridae
Source: Ensembl